Molecule: ribosomal RNA, 239 nt
Filed under: uncultured bacterium
Lineage: Bacteria
Description: partial 16S ribosomal RNA
Rfam family: Bacterial small subunit ribosomal RNA
Source: RNAcentral
GAUCAUGGCUCAGGAUGAACGCUAGCGACAGGCCUAACACAUGCAAGUCGAGGGUAGCGGAGAGGUAGUAAUACCUUUGCCGGCGACCGGCGCACGGGUGAGUAACACGUAUGCAAUCCACCUGUAACAGGGGGAUAACCCGGAGAAAUCCGGACUAAUACCCCAUAAUAUGGGCUCUCCGCAUGGAGGGUCCAUUAAAGAGAGCAAUUUUGGUUACAGACGAGCAUGCGCUCCAUUAG